Non-coding RNA from Cucurbita pepo subsp. pepo (vegetable marrow), 109 nucleotides. The record is from RefSeq and is a predicted model, not a curated record. NCBI's taxonomy places the organism in Eukaryota, Viridiplantae, Streptophyta, Magnoliopsida, Cucurbitales, Cucurbitaceae.
GAUAAAUAAAUAUCAGAUGGCCUUAAGUCCUUUUCCUACACUGAGACAGAAAUUUAAUGCUUGUUCUCCUGUUUAUGUGGAUUGCAAGUUUGGCUUUUCUGUUACAGAU